RNAcentral lists this long non-coding RNA (1987 nucleotides) under Gallus gallus (chicken). Lineage: Eukaryota; Metazoa; Chordata; Aves; Galliformes; Phasianidae. The record is from RNAcentral.
AGCUGGGAGCUGCAGUCCGGACUGACGGCUCAGACAGAGCUGCUGCUUGGGAAUUGCCACAGAUGGCUCUGACUGGAGCUGCUGCAGGCUGGUUCUGUGGCCUUACGUUCUGCUCAACACAGGACAACUGAGGACGACUUCAUGGAGCUGCCUCCACAACAAGCUCAGCUGGGGAUGCUGCAAGUGUGUUUACUUGCCCAAGGUAAGGGAUCCCUACUUAUCCGGCAAUACGUUUCCUGUCCCAUUCAAUGGGCUGCCUGAAAGAGCGGGGAGAAGGACAGGGAUCAGUUGAAUUUAGCCUUUGAAAAGUCCAUUUCUGGAUGCUGUUCCAUGAACUUUUUCAAAAUGUCUUGCUUCUUCUGUUCAUCAGAUGUGGGGAGGCCCAUGGAUUUCUGUCGCUGAUCAUACAUCAUUUUCUCCACCAUACUGCGAGUCUCACUGUCCAGGUCUGACAACUUUGAGUUUUCUGGAUUGAUUUUCUUGGUGUUGAUCUCCGGGUCUGUAGAGACUAGUUUGUUCCACCAUUCCAUCUUGUUGACCUUCUCCAGGUGCACGGUGACUGUUUUACCAUCCUCAAUCAGCCAGGAACUCUCCUCCACCUUCACUUCAUUGAAAAGUUCUCCAUCAAUAACAGGAGGAUGACCUUUCAGGCCAACUCUGAGGCGCCGUCUCUGGAUAUCCACCACCACAUCCUUCCCCUUCAGCCGGAAGGUCACCUUGAAAGGGAUGGCCAGAUCCAGCUCUGAAAGAGUCUGUGUCCAUCUGUAAUUUGGGAGGUCAGCUCCAUUGCCAGCGUUGGGUUUAAGUUUUCCUUUAUCAUUCUCAUCUUUCUCUUCAUCAUCUGUUUCCUGUUUGUUAGAAUCUGAAGAGUCACCAUCAUCCUCUGAGGAUUUCACUGGGACAUUGUUAACCUCUUUUUGUGCCUCUUUCUUCUGAUCAAUUUCCAGCUGCAGUCUUUCUGCUUCCUCGUCCGUAAGUUCCUUAAUCCUUGGCUCAUUUGCUUCCUGCUUUGCUUCUUUGGCAAGCUUUGCAGCUCUCUCUGCCUUUUCCCGUCGUUCUGCCUCUUGACGAGCCUUCUUCUCCUUCCGCUCCUUCUGAGCCAGUUUGUUGUGAUGGUUGAAGGAGUCUGUGAUCAGCUUCUCUGCUACACCAUCUUCUCCACCAGUGAAGAAAUCUGUUUUACGCCUCAGGAAACUAAAGAAUGUGUUCACAAGCUCGCACACGCCGCCUUGGUGCUGCUGGGCCAUGGCCAGGAGGAUGCCAUCGAAGCGAUCCUCCUGCUCCGCCGCUUCCUCCGCGCUCAACCCCAUCCUACCCGCCACCGGUCUCCUCAGAGCCCUCACGCUACUGCUAACCGGAACCGGAAGCAAGCUGGGCGGAAGCGGAAAAGCGGUACCUCCCUCAACAUCCAAUCGCCGCGCUCGGCCGCGCUGCUGCCUUCGCGGAUUGGUCGAGACCGUACCCGGGGUGGAGAGGCGGGAAGAGUGGCGCGGGGCUCGGUUGCUAUAGCGACGGCCGGGCCUGGGCCUUUCCAGAAAGCUCCACGGGGUCGCUUAUUUCCGGGCAUUUCCUGUCCUUGCACGGGAUUUGGCUUCCCGAAUGCCCUCCAGAGUCACCACGCGGUUCAAAGAGCCACUCGUCCAAGGCCAAGCAGAGCAAAGGGCCUGCGGCCUGCAGUGGAGAUAGGCUAUGCCAGUCCCUGCUGGCUGCUGUGGGCCUCUCCUUAUCCCUCGUUGCUGGUUUCACUCCUUCUUUGCACUAAGAGCGUUGUCCCCUUAGGGUGAGUUGUCCUUAUCCCUAUAGGGUGCCUACUGCCCAGGGUCCCCCUGAAAUCAAUCAGCAGAUGCUGCCACUUCCCCAGACCAACCUUUGCUGGCCAACAGACACAAAUCCCUGGGUAUUUUGUGGUGAAAAUCUAUAAACGUGGGUCUCGGUUCCCUCUUGUUUGUGCACCGAGAGCUGUGUGCCCUUAAGGCAUUUGUUUCCA